GCCCCCAUAGCUUAAUGGUAAAGCAACUUCCUCUUAAGAAGAUGACUCCAGGUUCGAGUCCUGGUGGGGGCACCA
This 75-nucleotide transfer RNA is filed under the name bacterium. RNAcentral's name for it is "tRNA-Lys". It matches the Rfam family "tRNA". Rfam says of the family: Transfer RNA (tRNA) molecules are approximately 80 nucleotides in length. Their secondary structure includes four short double-helical elements and three loops (D, anti-codon, and T loops). The record is from RNAcentral.